AAAGGACCUCACAGCCACAUUUGAGCCUUGUGCCAGAGAUGGCACGCAUCAUUGCCAGAGCAAGUGGCAUGGCCAUCCGACUUUGGUGAGCUGGUAGUCUAUUGUCCUCCCAUAAAAGAGGUGGGCUGGGAGGCUGGGAAUAAAUAUUUGCACAGUAACUUUGUCUACCAGCCACUUGGCUAUGUAGCUAGAUGCCUGAGUCUUACCUGUGCCUCUGUCACUUGGCUGUUGUGGACUAUCAGCCUUGUACCUCAGCUUCCUCGUCUAUAAGGUGGGAUCAUGGCUAGAGCCCCGCAUUCCUUUGCUGGGUGGGGCAGCCGUGGCAAAAUACCACCAGCAGAGGGCUUAUAGCACAGAAACGUAAUACUAAUGUAAAACUUCAUGUUCUGGAGUCUGGAAAUCCAAGAUCAAGGUGUUAGCCUUGCUUCUGGGGAGGGCUCCUCCAGAGUUGCAGAUGCCCCCCUCCCCACUUUCUCACAACCUUUCCUUUCUGCCUAGGGUGUGACUCUACGAGUUCUGUUUUCUGAUGCCAUGCAUGUGUGGUCUUGUACUUGAGUCUGUUUAGCACAGGACCCAGUUCGGCAGUGUUGGCAAAGCACCAUGUUCUCGAUCCCCCUGAGCCAGCUCCCUGUAAUUAACUGUUCUAAUGAUGACUGAUUCUGACUGUCUGACUCUGACCUUCUCGCCGCAACUUCCUUACCUGGGAAGCAGGUACAAGGAAAUGUGACGGCCACAUCAUCCGUCCUGGAACAAGAUAGACGACCGUGAGGGUGGUGACAGUGAGGAGGGUGAUGACUGUGGUGGUGACGAUGAUUUGAUGGUAAUCUUGAUGGUUAUGAUGGUUCGUUUUUAUCAACUUGGUAUAGUCUAGAGUCACCUGGUAAGGAAGUAUAGAUUAGGUUGCCCUGAAGGCGUGUCUGUAAGGGAUUAUCUUGAUUAUAUUAAUGGAAGUAGAAAGACCUGCUCACUGCGAGUGGUACCAUUCUAUAGGAAGGAGAUUGUAUAAAGUGGGAGUUUUGAUAUAAAAAGAAUAUAUAUAUAUAUAUAUAUAUAUAUAUAUAUAUAGAGAGAGAGAGAGAGAGAGAGAGAGAGAUAGUUGGUAGAUAAUAGAGAGAUACAUGAUUGAUAGAUGAUAGGUAGAGAGAGAGAGAGAUAGUUGAUAGAUAAUAGAGAGAUACAUGAUUGAUAGAUGAUAGGGAGAGAGAGAGAGAGAGAGAGAGAGAUAGUUGAUAGAUAAUAGAGAGAUACAUGAUUGAUAGAUGAUAGGGAGAGAGAGAGAGAUAGUUGAUAGAUAAUAGAGAGAUACAUGAUUGAUAGAUGAUAGGUAGAGAGAGAGAGAUAGUUGAUAGAUAAUAGAGAGAUAAUGAUUGAUAGAUGAUAGGUAGAGAGAGAGAGAGAGAUAGUUGAUAGAUAAUAGAGAGAUACAUGAUUGAUAGAUGAUAGAGAGAGAGAGAGAGAGAGAGAGAGAGGGUUCCCACAGUGUUAGGUAUCAAAGAAGCCAGGGACAAAUGGUUAACUGAGGUGCCUAUUAACUGCCUGUCACAGAGUCCUGGCUCCUCUGAGCACUUCUCACCCUACUCCUUACCCCAAACCUCUCCAGCCCCCGAUCUUCACCGCCCUUUCCCCGCCUUCUCUUUCCUUUAUAGCUCAGACAUUUGGGCUACGUGCCCUCUUAGGUCUCUUUGCCAUCUUGGUUUUCUUUUGUCUCCCUCUCUCUUCUCUUCCUCACUUGCUCUUCCCCUCUCUCUCCUCUCAUGGUCCAGUCGACGCUGCUGGCCAUGCUCCAUCUGGAGUCUUCCAGAUGGCUCUGGCUGUG
Molecule: long non-coding RNA, 1816 nt
Filed under: Cricetulus griseus (Chinese hamster)
Lineage: Eukaryota; Metazoa; Chordata; Mammalia; Rodentia; Cricetidae
Description: lncRNA (ENSCGRG00015040504.1)
Source: RNAcentral